AGAGUACGUGAAACCGUUCAGGGGUAAACCUGAGAAACCCGAAAGGUCGAAAGGGGAGAUUCAGCGUGUCUCGAUUGCGGCGCUGGAUGGUCGUGCGACGGAAGACGUACGCGUCAUCCGCACCUUCCGUCCUCCGAACCGUGGUCGAACGCGUGCACUUCUCCCCCUGUAGGACGUCGCGAUCCGUUGGGUGCCGGUCUAAGGCCCGCAAUGGAGCCCGUUCGGACGGUUCACCCGUUCCGGACGAACUUGCGGUGUUUCCCGGUCGGCUCGCUCGACGGUAUACAGAUGGCGCGGGGCCGCUACACAUUAGUUAGCGUCCGACCGGCGGCAAGCGCGCUCGUCGCGACGGUGAUCGGACCUGGUGCCGGUCCUGUCCCCGAGUGGCUGUUCGCUGCCGUGUUCUCGGACAGACCUCGUCGAAACGCCGAUCUGCGACGCUAUAGCUUUGGGUACUUUCAGGACCCGUCUUG
This 473-nucleotide ribosomal RNA is filed under the name Stenomorpha divaricata. RNAcentral describes it as "eukaryotic LSU rRNA". The record is from RNAcentral. Lineage: Eukaryota; Metazoa; Arthropoda; Insecta; Coleoptera; Tenebrionidae.